Pollicipes pollicipes is the source of this 345-nucleotide long non-coding RNA. RefSeq lists it as uncharacterized. The record is from RefSeq and is a predicted model, not a curated record. The transcript is spliced from 3 exons. NCBI's taxonomy places the organism in Eukaryota, Metazoa, Arthropoda, Thecostraca, Pollicipedomorpha, Pollicipedidae.
GCGAGGGACGGAGGGCUGCCAUCGUCGUGCGUUAAUCGGACGCACGGCUGCCACCGUCAUGCGGUAAUCGGACGUACGGCGUUGCCUCGGAUCCUCUGUCGUCUGCAGUGUUCUCAAAGCCAUGAUGAGACGUUGCUUGCAAGUCUCGAUGACGUCGCUUGGGAACGCGCGCGGUGCGUUCGUUCCUCGAAAACGACUGCUGCUGCUGCUCCUGCUGGCUGGCGGCGGCGUUCUGUUUGUCCUGUCGUCCCCCUCACUCAAGAUCAAUGACCGACAAGACAGAUCCGUGUCGGAGGACUGCACCGGCUGCAGCGCGUGGGACCGCGCCCGCGCCGUCGAAGCGCU